CAGCAGCCGCGGUAAAACGUAGGUGGCAAGCGUUGUCCGGAAUUAUUGGGCGUAAAGGGAGCGUAGACGGUUAAACAAGUCUGAAGUGAAAUGCCGGGGCUCAACCCCGGAGCUGCUUUGGGAACUGUAGAACUGGAGUGUCGGAGGGGUAAGCGGAAUUCCCAGUGUAGCGGUGAAAUGCGUAGAUAUUGGGAGGAACACCGGCGGCGAAGGCGGCUUACUGGACGACAACUGACGUUGAGGCUCGAAGGCGUGGGUAGCAAACAGGAUUAGAUACCCUGUAGUCCCUGUCUCUUAUACA
RNAcentral lists this ribosomal RNA (301 nucleotides) under uncultured bacterium. RNAcentral describes it as "partial 16S ribosomal RNA". It matches the Rfam family "Bacterial small subunit ribosomal RNA", at positions 509 to 808 of the family's 1533-position model. The record is from RNAcentral.